GAAGGUAUUGGACUCAAAUGCAGGACUCGAGGUGAAGGCAUGAUAUUGAUUGUGGUUUUAUUCCAGCCUAAGGUCGGACACAAGUAAGCAGUCCAAAAAAGGUGGAAGCACAAAAACCCGAGGCAACAGGCAUGAUCCAAAAACAUGCAACAUAAUCCGAUGACUAUGAGGCAAAGCUCAAAAACAUGAACAAGACGUAACAAAACUAUAGCGGCACAGGCUCGCUGUAAUGAAGGGAUGCAGUUCACAAAGAUUGCGAACUUACGCACGAUAGUGGAUUAUCCAAUAUGCAGUAACACAAUGAAAUGGCAAAUGUAGAUGACACACUCAAGGCUUAAAUGCCUGGUCUAAUUACCGUCCAAUGCGGCGCAGUUCUGGGACUGCAGCCAUAGGCGGCACUGCCCAGGGCAGUGGCUUGGCCAUGCCCCUGACAGGCAGCACCGCCUAGGGCAGUGGCUUGGCCAUGCUCCUGACAUCCUGGCCACUAGUCCUUCCUGCUCCUUCCGUCGCCUAGGUGCUACCGAUCAAUGCAAGUCAAAACUAGCAGGCAUUCAAACUGUUUUUCCGUCUGGCAAUUAAGUCAUUAAAUUCUUGAUCAGCGAACCUACUCUUUUUUUUUUUUUCCCUUGUGCCGUUGUUGGGACACACCCUCAUAUCCUGCUGGUCCAGUGACUGUUAGUAUUAGUAAUAUAUGCUGUAAACUCUGACAACUCAUCACUUUAAAUGGUUUGUUUUGCAAAAUUGACAUUACACUUGCACUGGUCUAUAACAGGGCACUCUGUACAGGCUUAACAUAAUGUGGGGCAUUGACACACUCUUAAUUGUUCUAAAUGAAGAAGACUCUGCAUUUUGCACAUCUUUGAUUCUUAUAAGGAAUAGUUCCUAUUAAAUGAAAGUCUCUUGUUCGUUGUUCUUUUUAGUUAGUUUGUUUGUUCUUUGUUCUGAAUGUUGUACCAGGGCAGCAGCGACGCUGGAAACAAAUUGUGUUGUUACACAAUUGACCAAAUAAGAUGAUUCUGAUUCUGAAUGGUUUUAUAUUCCUGGAGUCUCCUGAGAAUCUCUCCAGGCAAGAGAGCAGUGAGCAGAUGCCCUCAGAUGUGACGAGUGCCAGCAUUGUGACUGACCCGUGAGGUUCGUGGAGGUCCUUCUGCUGUCUCAGGUGUUGUACCCGUUACAUCCUUCUUCAGGAUUAGGUUUAAAAGGACAUCAAACUGUGAGACCACCCGCCUCAUGAUGGUGUCCUGCUGCUCUGAGACUUUCUUCAGAUGAUGGCGGAGGGCAGAAAGCUGUUUGUCUUGCUGUGAGUGUCACGAACGAGGCUCGAAGGCGGACCCAAAUGCACAACUCAGGGAACAGGUAAGCUGCGCGGAAUAAGCCUUUAUUCGUUCCAAUGUCGGUUACCAGGGAGUCAGUCCAAACAAGCAGCAGGAUCAUUAACAGCAGGCUUACAGGGUAGGUCGGGAGACAGCCGUUGGUCGGGACACGGGAGGUAGACGUCAGGAGUACGGAAGUGCGGGAACGAGGCAUGAGAGGCAACGAUCUGGCAAAGACCACUUGUCCCCAGGGACCUAUAAAUACCGAGUUCAAUCAGUCGGGAUGAGGCGCAGUUGCGCGCCUCCUAAUCAGCUGGCCACGCCCAGCCAGGACUGGAAGGCAGGGACAUGGCAGUGAGAUGCGUUAUCGCUGACCCUGGAGGACUUUGUGCACAGGGUCCAAGUUUUUUGGGUCCAUGUUAUGGCCAGUUAGUUCUGUCAUGAACAGAACAUCGAGUUGGACCCAAAAUGCAUGACUCCAGAGACAAGGAACAGUUCAAGAAGUGAGUCAAUCCAUGUUUGGUACCCAGGCAUGCAGUCCAAAAGGUAUUAGUAGCAACAUCGUGAGGCAAAAAGGAGUAAUCAGGUAGAUGAGGCACUGGUGGAGCGGCUACUCCCAGGGGCAGGUGUGCAUGAGGCAAGGGAAUGACCCCACCCAUGACAAACACAUUUCAGUUGUAUAGCCGAAUUCAUGACCCUUGUCCUGUUAGCUUCUUUUCCUGUCCCUGUCCUGUUCUCUCUGGUCCUGUCCUUUCCUCACAGGAUGUAGCCCUACAGUCCCAGAAAAUAUCUACAUUUAACGUCACUUUGUCAUUGAUAUGUAAUAAUUUUUAAAAUUUUACCUUCUGUGUAUAACUAGAGCUAUCUUUUGUCUUUGUUUUCUUCCACCUCUGGAAAUAUUGUUCUGUUUAAGUGAUUGACUUUCAAUAAAUAUCAAUUAUAACAGGCAGCACAGUGGAGCAACUGGAAAUCAUUGGCCUCACAGUUCUGAGGUCCUGGGUUUAAUCCUAGCCCUGCCUAUGUGGAGUUUGGAUGUUCUCCCCGUGCCUGCGUGGGUUUUCUUUGGGAACUCUGGUUUCCUCCCACAUCCCAAAAACAUACAACAUUAAUUGGACACUCUAAAUUGCCCCUAGGUCUGAUUGUGAGUGCAGCUGUUGUCUUUCUCUUUGUGUCCUCCGAUUGGCUGGCAACCAGUUCAGGAUGUACCCUGCCUCCUGCCCGUCAACAGCUGGGAUAGGCUCCAGCACUCCUGUGACCCUUGUGAGGAUACGUGGCAAAUGAAAUAGAUGGAUGGAUCAAUUAUAAUAUUUUGAGAAAAUAUCACAGAAGAAUCCUUGAAACUCCAAUGUGACAAUAAAACUGUUCUGGCAGAAAAGGGAUACAGACCCUCCGUUCUUCUUUACCUGAUGGCCGAACAGGACAAAAAAAGGCAGAGUUUUAUUCCAUCCUGACGCGAUCCUCUGCAUUUAUCCAGGCAACAGUUUGGACUGGCUUAUGCCCCCUAUUGGGUUGCAUAGGUCACUUUUCAUUCAUAAUGUAUGCAAAAAACGAUAACAAGCCUUGUCCUUGUCCAAAUCAUACAUCCACCCAAAAAAAUAACAACAUAACAAAAGUAAAAUGAAAAUAACCACAUUGUAUUUAUGUAAGGGUUGUAUUUUAUCUGUGCUAUAUUUGGACUGGACAUGACGAGGAACAAAAAUGGACUCAAUGACAGGAGUAUCAUGAUCCUGCCGCUCCAGCACGAGCUGUGCGGGUGUCCGGGCAGGUGCGCUGAUUGGAAGGUGCACACCUGCGCCUCAUGCAGCCUGAUUAUGCUAUGGAUUUAUAUGACCGCGAUGACAACUGGCCGGCGCCAGUUCGUAUGAUCUUCAUGUCCCAUUCGUGUGCUCCGGUAUCCCUGAUUGAACCUGUGUGUACCGACCUUCGUCCGUUCUCCGACCAACCUUGUAAGCCUGACUCCUUUGAUACUUCUGCCUGCGUUGAUUGUUCCCCUGUGUACCGACUCCUGCCUGUCCGCUCAUCUGCUCUCUUCGCCCGAUGCCCCAACUACCGCUGCUGCACCGGACUGCCUGCUCGAUCCCCUACCUCUGCAUAUAAUAAACGUGUCUCUUCUUGAACUACCUUGCGUUUUCCGAGUUCCUGCAUUUGGGUCCUACUCUCGUUUCCGAUGGGACGCGACAGAACGAACUGGCCAAUACAGGACCCAGCAGGAAAGACCCGGCGUCGCCGGGACCGACGCAAGGUUCACGUUGCCGUGGAAACCGACCCGCCCCCUUGCCAAGUGCACGCCGCAGUGGGAACGGACUCGCCACCUCGCCAAGCACACGUGCGUGUGGAAACCGACCCGCCCCCUUGCCAAGUGCACGCCGCAGUUUUGGCUGUUCCGAGCAGAGUUCACGUGGCAGUCAGAACUGACCCGCUCCCGAGACACGCCCACGUGUCAGUUUCGACUGACUCUCUGCCGACUCUUGUUCACGUUGCCCUGGAAACGGAUUCGCCACCGUGCCAUGCCCACGUUGCUGUUUCAAUGGAUGCACUGCAAGCUCACGUGGCAGUGGGGACCGACCCGAUGUCGUCUCACGUUGCUGUCCAGCAGGUGGCGAUGGCGAUGGUGUCGCCGCCUUCUCACGUUGCUGUCCAGGAGGUGGCGAUGGCGAUGGGGUCGCCGCCUUCUCACGUUGCUGUCCAGGAUGUGGCGAUGGCGAUGGGGUCGCCGCCUUCUCACGUUGCUGUCCAGGAGGUGGCGAUGGCGAUGGGGUCGCCGCCUUCUCACGUUGCUGUCCAGGAGGUGGCGAUGGCGAUGGGGUCGCCGCCUUCUCACGUUGCUGUCCAGGAGGUGGCGAUGGCGAUGGGCCGCCUUCUCACGUUGCUGUCCAGGAGGUGGCGAUGGCGAUGGGGUUGCCGCCUUCUCACGUUGCUGUCCAGGAGGUGGCGAUGGCGAUGGGGUCGCCGCCUUCUCACGUUGCUGUCCCCGACAAGAGCUGGGGAGUUCUGAUGAGCCACCCCGGAGCUGGAGAGACUUCGGGAUGGUAAUGGUGGCGGUCAUGGCUCUGGUCCUUCUCUCCAUCAUCCUAUUCGCUCCAGAUGGCUCCCAGCCGCUUCAUGACCUAGCCUCGGUGGCGACCAAUCAUUGGUUGUUUGGCAACUACGGCGUGGGAGGUUCUCGUCCGGAGCAGUGGCCUGCCUCGUUCUGGUGCCUGCUCCUUCGUUUGGUUCCUCACAGAGGUCGUCCGCCCGAAUCGCCCCGUGGGGACCCUGGUGCUUGGCGUCCGGGUCGUCCUCCUGACCUGUCCACCCAGACGUCUCGUGUUUGGUGGCCUGGAUGGCCACCAGUCUGGGGUUCAGGGGGGGGGGGCGUGCCCUCCUCCGGACCUCCUUCCGCCCACCCCUGUCUGUGUUAAUUAUUGUCUGUUUUUUCGUUUAGGCACGUCUGGGAGCUGUGCCUUUGAGGGGGGGAUUACUGUCAUGAUCCUGCCGCUCCAGCACGAGCUGUGCGGGAAUCCGCGCAGGUGCGCUGAUUGGAAGGUGCACACCUGCGCCUCAUGCAGCCUGAUUAUGCUAUGGAUUUAUAUGACCGCGAUGACAACUGGCCGGCGCCAGUUCGUAUGAUCUUCAUGUCCCAUUCGUGUGCUCCGCUAUCCCUGAUUGAACCUACUCCUGCCUGUCCGCUCAUCUGCUCUCUUCGCCCGACGCCCCAACUACCGCUGCUGCACCGGACUGCCUGCUCGAUCCCCUACCUCUGCAUAUAAUAAACGUGUCUC
Syngnathoides biaculeatus (alligator pipefish) is the source of this 5074-nucleotide long non-coding RNA. RefSeq lists it as uncharacterized. The transcript is spliced from 3 exons. The record is from RefSeq and is a predicted model, not a curated record. NCBI's taxonomy places the organism in Eukaryota, Metazoa, Chordata, Actinopteri, Syngnathiformes, Syngnathidae.